GGGAAGAUUACUUGCAAGUCGAGGGGCAGCGGGGAGGUUCAAUACUUCCGCCGGCGACCGGCGCACGGGUGAGUCCUUGUAUGGAACCUGCCCGUAGCAGGGGGAUAAGCGGAAGACAUUCCGUCUAAUACCGCGUAAUAACUCCGAGAGGCAUCUCCUGGGGUUUAAAGGGUAACACCGGCUACGGAUGGCCAUGCGGCGCAUUAGCUAGUUGGCGGGGUAACGGCCCACCAAGGCGACGAUGCGUACAGGUUCUGAGAGGAAGGUCCCCCACACUGGUACUGAGACACGGACCAGACCCCUACGGGAGGCAGCAGUGAGGAAUAUUGGUCAAUGGGCGCGAGCCUGAACUAGCCAAGUCGCGUGAGGGAAGACGGUCCUAUGGAUUGUAAACCUCUUUUGUCGGGGAGCAAAAGACGCCACGCGUGGCGUUCCGAGAGUACCCGAAGAAAAAGCAUCGGCUAACUCCGUGCCAGCAGCCGCGGUAAUACGGAGGAUGCGAGCGUUAUCCGGAUUUAUUGGGUUUAAAGGGUGCGCAGGCGGAAGAUCAAGUCAGCGGUAAAAUUGAGAGGCUCAACCUCUUCGAGCCGUUGAAACUGGUUUUCUUGAGUGAGCGAGAAGUAUGCGGAAUGCGUGGUGUAGCGGUGAAAUGCAUAGAUAUCACGCAUAACUCCGAUUGCGAAAGCAGCAUACCGGCGCUCAACUGACGCUCAUGCACGAAAGUGUGAGUAUCGAACAGGAAUUGAUACCCUGGUAGUCCACACAGUAAACGAUGAAUACUAAUUGUUCGGGGGAGAAUG
Molecule: ribosomal RNA, 800 nt
Filed under: uncultured bacterium
Lineage: Bacteria
Description: bacterial SSU rRNA
Rfam family: Bacterial small subunit ribosomal RNA
Source: RNAcentral